Molecule: transfer RNA, 88 nt
Filed under: Gammaproteobacteria bacterium
Lineage: Bacteria; Pseudomonadati; Pseudomonadota; Gammaproteobacteria
Description: tRNA-Leu
Rfam family: tRNA
About the family: Transfer RNA (tRNA) molecules are approximately 80 nucleotides in length. Their secondary structure includes four short double-helical elements and three loops (D, anti-codon, and T loops). Further hydrogen bonds mediate the characteristic L-shaped molecular structure. tRNAs have two regions of fundamental functional importance: the anti-codon, which is responsible for specific mRNA codon recognition, and the 3' end, to which the tRNAs corresponding amino acid is attached (by aminoacyl-tRNA synthetases). tRNAs cope with the degeneracy of the genetic code in two manners: having more than one tRNA (with a specific anti-codon) for a particular amino acid; and 'wobble' base-pairing, i.e. permitting non-standard base-pairing at the 3rd anti-codon position.
Source: RNAcentral
GCCCGGGUGGUGAAACGGGUAGACACAAGGGACUUAAAAUCCCUCGAUCAAACUGAUCGUGCCGGUUCGACUCCGGCCCCGGGCACCA